UACGUAGGGUGCAAGCGUUGUCCGGAAUUAUUGGGCGUAAAGAGCUCGUAGGCGGUUUGUCGCGUCUGCUGUGAAAACUCGGGGCUUAACUCCGGGCCUGCAGUGGGUACGGGCAGACUAGAGUGCGGUAGGGGAGACUGGAAUUCCUGGUGUAGCGGUGAAAUGCGCAGAUAUCAGGAAGAACACCCGUGGCUAAGGCGGCUCUCUAGUACGGUACUGACGCUGAGACGCGAAAGCGUGGGGAGCGAACAGG
Molecule: ribosomal RNA, 253 nt
Filed under: uncultured bacterium
Lineage: Bacteria
Description: partial 16S ribosomal RNA
Rfam family: Bacterial small subunit ribosomal RNA
Source: RNAcentral